AUCCAGCCUUCCACUCUCCCCAGCACGAGUCAGUCCCUCAGUUUCCCUUAGGCCUGCUCAGUGGCUUGCAUCACGUCAAUGAGAUGCACUGACUACGAAGUUGCUCUUUUACUCAUCAUCACCUGCUCCUGUCUCUUUUAUGUAAAGGCAGCCAAUGCUUUUCUUGCCCAGAGGAUCAGCAGCAUUAACUCCAUAAGUGCUCUGUGUGAAGCCACAGGCGCCGAUGUGGAAGAGGUGGCAACGGCUAUCGGGAUGGACCAAAGAAUUGGAAAUAAGUUUCUAAAAGCCAGCGUUGGUAAAUAAAAUGUUCCCCACAUAUUUCUCUAGUAAAAUAGGUUACUAACCAGGUUCAUGGAGCCUCUUUAUGGAAGAUUUGGUUUGUUUGUUUUUUUU
Molecule: long non-coding RNA, 393 nt
Filed under: Rattus norvegicus (Norway rat)
Lineage: Eukaryota; Metazoa; Chordata; Mammalia; Rodentia; Muridae
Description: long non-coding RNA NONRATT009364
Source: RNAcentral